AGAGUUUGAUCCUGGCUCAGGAUGAACGCUGGCGGUCUGCUUAACACAUGCAAGUCGAACGCACCGCAAGGUGAGUGGCAGACGGGUGAGUAACGCGUGGGAACGUGCCCUUCAGUUCGGGAUAACCCAGGGAAACUUGGGCUAAUACCGGAUACGUGCGAGAGCAGAAAGAUUCAUCGCUGAAGGAUCGGCCCGCGUCUGAUUAGCUAGUUGGUAGGGUAAUGGCCUACCAAGGCGACGAUCAGUAGCUGGUCUGAGAGGAUGAUCAGCCACAUUGGGACUGAGACACGGCCCAAACUCCUACGGGAGGCAGCAGUGGGGAAUAUUGGACAAUGGGCGCAAGCCUGAUCCAGCCAUGCCGCGUGAGUGAUGAAGGCCUUAGGGUUGUAAAGCUCUUUCGUCCGGGACGAUAAUGACGGUACCGGAAGAAGAAGCCCCGGCUAACUUCGUGCCAGCAGCCGCGGUAAUACGAAGGGGGCUAGCGUUGUUCGGAAUCACUGGGCGUAAAGGGCGCGUAGGCGGCCUGAUAAGUCGGGGGUGAAAGCCUGUGGCUCAACCACAGAAUUGCCUUCGAUACUGUCGGGCUUGAGACCGGAAGAGGUAAGUGGAACUGCGAGUGUAGAGGUGAAAUUCGUAGAUAUUCGCAAGAACACCAGUGGCGAAGGCGGCUUACUGGUCCGGUUCUGACGCUGAGGCGCGAAAGCGUGGGGAGCAAACAGGAUUAGAUACCCCGGUAGUCC
RNAcentral lists this ribosomal RNA (740 nucleotides) under uncultured Hyphomicrobiales bacterium. RNAcentral's name for it is "bacterial SSU rRNA". It matches the Rfam family "Bacterial small subunit ribosomal RNA", at positions 8 to 796 of the family's 1533-position model. The record is from RNAcentral. Lineage: Bacteria; Pseudomonadati; Pseudomonadota; Alphaproteobacteria; Hyphomicrobiales.